Molecule: ribosomal RNA, 253 nt
Filed under: uncultured bacterium
Lineage: Bacteria
Description: partial 16S ribosomal RNA
Rfam family: Bacterial small subunit ribosomal RNA
Source: RNAcentral
UACAGGGGGUGCAAACGUUGCUCGGAAUUAUUGGGCGUAAAGCGCGCGCAGGCGGUUUCUUAAGUCUGAUGUGAAAGCCCACGGCUCAACCGUGGAGGGUCAUUGGAAACUGGGGAACUUGAGUGCAGAAGAGAAAAGCGGAAUUCCACGUGUAGCGGUGAAAUGCGUAGAGAUGUGGAGGAACACCAGUGGCGAAGGCGGCUUUUUGGUCUGUAACUGACGCUGAGGCGCGAAAGCGUGGGGAGCAAACAGA